UCAAGCGAACAAGUGCAUGUGGUGGAUGCCUUGGCGAUCACAGGCGAUGAAGGACGCGGUAGCCUGCGAAAAGCCCCGGGGAGCUGGCAAACAAGCUUUGAUCCGGGGAUGUCCGAAUGGGGAAACCCACUCCUUUUGGAGUAUCCAUAGCUGAAUACAUAGGCUAUGUGAAGCGAACGCGGUGAACUGAAACAUCUAAGUAACCGCAGGAAAAGAAAUCAACCGAGAUUCCCAAAGUAGUGGCGAGCGAAAUGGGAUGAGCCUUGUACUCUUUAUUUGUAUUGUUAGCCGAACGCUCUGGAAAGUGCGGCCAUAGCAGGUGAUAGCCCUGUAGGCGAAAACAGUAUGAAAGAACUAGGUGUACGACAAGUAGGGCGGGACACGUGAAAUCCUGUCUGAAGAUGGGGGGACCAUCCUCCAAGGCUAAAUACUCGUGAUCGACCGAUAGUGAACCAGUACCGUGAGGGAAAGGCGAAAAGAACCCCGGGAGGGGAGUGAAAUAGAUCCUGAAACCGCAUGCAUACAAACAGUCGGAGCCUCGUAAGGGGUGACGGCGUACCUUUUGUAUAAUGGGUCAGCGACUUACGUUCAGUAGCAAGCUUAACCGUAUAGGGCAGGCGUAGCGAAAGCGAGUCCGAAUAGGGCGUUCAGUUGCUGGGCGUAGACCCGAAACCAGGUGAUCUAUCCAUGGCCAGGAUGAAGGUGCGGUAACACGUACUGGAGGUCCGAACCCACUAACGUUGAAAAGUUAGGGGAUGAGCUGUGGAUAGGGGUGAAAGGCUAAACAAACCUGGAAAUAGCUGGUUCUCUCCGAAAACUAUUUAGGUAGUGCCUCGUGUCUCACCUUCGGGGGUAGAGCACUGUCAUGGUUGGGGGGUCUAUUGCAGAUUACCCCGCCAUAGCAAACUCCGAAUACCGAAGAGUGCAAUCACGGGAGACAGACAUCGGGUGCUAACGUCCGGUGUCAAGAGGGAAACAACCCAGACCGCCAGCUAAGGUCCCCAAAUAUGGCUAAGUGGGAAACGAAGUGGGAAGGCUAAAACAGUCAGGAGGUUGGCUUAGAAGCAGCCACCCUUUAAAGAAAGCGUAAUAGCUCACUGAUCGAGUCGUCCUGCGCGGAAGAUGUAACGGGGCUAAGCCAUAUACCGAAGCUGCGGAUGCGUGCUUGCACGCAUGGUAGGAGAGCGUUCCGUAAGCCUGCGAAGGUGCCUUGUAAAGGGUGCUGGAGGUAUCGGAAGUGCGAAUGCUGACAUGAGUAGCGAUAAAGGGGGUGAAAGGCCCCCUCGCCGUAAGCCCAAGGUUUCCUACGCAACGUUCAUCGGCGUAGGGUGAGUCGGCCCCUAAGGCGAGGCAGAAAUGCGUAGCUGAUGGGAAGCAGGUCAAUAUUCCUGCACCGUCGUUAGAUGCGAUGGGGGGACGGAUCGCGGAAGGUUGUCCGGGUGUUGGACGUCCCGGUCGCUGCAUUGGAGAAGGCGCUUAGGCAAAUCCGGGCGCAGGAUUCAAGGGUGUGGCGCGAGCGACUUCGGUCGCGAAGCAAUUGGAAGUGGUUCCAAGAAAAGCCUCUAAGCUUCAGUCUAACGAUGACCGUACCGCAAACCGACACAGGUGGGCGAGAUGAGUAUUCUAAGGCGCUUGAGAGAACUCGGGAGAAGGAACUCGGCAAAUUGGUACCGUAACUUCGGGAUAAGGUACGCCCUUGUAGCUUGACCAGCCUGCGCUGGAAGGGUGAAGGGGUUGCAAUAAACUGGUGGCUGCGACUGUUUAAUAAAAACACAGCACUCUGCAAACACGAAAGUGGACGUAUAGGGUGUGACGCCUGCCCGGUGCCGGAAGAUUAAAUGAUGGGGUGCAAGCUCUUGAUUGAAGUCCCGGUAAACGGCGGCCGUAACUAUAACGGUCCUAAGGUAGCGAAAUUCCUUGUCGGGUAAGUUCCGACCUGCACGAAUGGCGUAACGAUGGCCACACUGUCUCCUCCCGAGACUCAGCGAAGUUGAAGUGUUUGUGAUGAUGCAAUCUACCCGCGGCUAGACGGAAAGACCCCAUGAACCUUUACUGUAGCUUUGCAUUGGACUUUGAACCGAUCUGUGUAGGAUAGGUGGGAGGCUAUGAAACCGGAACGCUAGUUUCGGUGGAGCCGUCCUUGAAAUACCACCCUGGUUUGUUUGAGGUUCUAACCUUGGUCCGUGAUCCGGAUCGGGGACAGUGCAUGGUAGGCAGUUUGACUGGGGCGGUCUCCUCCCAAAGGGUAACGGAGGAGUACGAAGGUACGCUAGGUACGGUCGGAAAUCGUGCUGAUAGUGCAAUGGCAUAAGCGUGCUUAACUGCGAGACCGACAAGUCGAGCAGGUGCGAAAGCAGGUCAUAGUGAUCCGGUGGUUCUGUAUGGAAGGGCCAUCGCUCAACGGAUAAAAGGUACUCUGGGGAUAACAGGCUGAUACCGCCCAAGAGUUCAUAUCGACGGCGGUGUUUGGCACCUCGAUGUCGGCUCAUCUCAUCCUGGGGCUGUAGCCGGUCCCAAGGGUAUGGCUGUUCGCCAUUUAAAGAGGUACGUGAGCUGGGUUUAAAACGUCGUGAGACAGUUUGGUCCCUAUCUGCCGUGGGCGUUGGAUAUUUGAAGGGGCUGCUCCUAGUACGAGAGGACCGGAGUGGACGAACCUCUGGUGUACCGGUUGUGACGCCAGUCGCAUCGCCGGGUAGCUAUGUUCGGAAGAGAUAACCGCUGAAAGCAUCUAAGCGGGAAACUCGCCUUAAGAUGAGAUAUCCCUGGAGGCUUGACCUCCUUGAAGGGUCGUUCGAGACCAGGACGUUGAUAGGUCGGGUGUGUAAGCGCAGUAAUGCGUUCAGCUAACCGAUACUAAUUGCCCGUAAGGCUUGAUCCU
RNAcentral lists this ribosomal RNA (2878 nucleotides) under Burkholderia multivorans CGD1. Its description in RNAcentral is "bacterial LSU rRNA". It matches the Rfam family "Bacterial large subunit ribosomal RNA". Lineage: Bacteria; Pseudomonadati; Pseudomonadota; Betaproteobacteria; Burkholderiales; Burkholderiaceae. The record is from RNAcentral.